Long non-coding RNA from Canis lupus familiaris (dog), 645 nucleotides. RefSeq lists it as uncharacterized. The transcript has 3 exons. Lineage: Eukaryota; Metazoa; Chordata; Mammalia; Carnivora; Canidae. The record is from RefSeq and is a predicted model, not a curated record.
UCUAUUUGUCAUGGCUGCUGUACCCAGAAGGGCCCCUGGAGGCCUCACUUCAGUCACCAUCCACAUCAUCCUUCUUGUUCACACAUCAGAAAUCCUUCUGUAGAAGUGGUUUCUCUUGCACUCCAAAGUUUGCCUCCCAGGUCUAGGGGAAGCCAGCUGCUUUGUUAUCAGGCAACCCGAUGGAGAACUCUGUGGGUUGAGAACUGAGGAUUUUCGCCAACAGCGACCUGAGAGAACCAUUUUGGAGCAUUUCUCCAGAGCUUCCAAUGAAGAGUGAAAUCCACACCAGAGUUCUCCUUGGCCCUGCCUCUAGCAUUCCUACUAAAGGGAUCAAAACCCUGAGACCAGGCAAAGGAAGAAAUCAAGCCUGAGUAAAGCACAAGCUGGAGCAUCCACUUCACAGAAAUCAGGAGUUAGCUGAGGCCCCUGGGUUUCUUCCUGUUUCCAGAGCAAAAACAGAGAAGAUCUGCCUGCAGAACUCAGUCUUUCACACCAUUGGAAAGCAGUCCAAUGGUGCUGUGAAAGACAAAGCAUGGGGGAGGGGAGAAGGGGGCAAACUGCAUGUUGUUUGCAAGUUCAGCAAUAUGAGCUCAGUUUCUUCAUCUGUCAAAUGUGUACAAUUAAAUAAUGUAUAAAUAUGCUUAA